This 404-nucleotide ribosomal RNA is filed under the name Actinomycetes bacterium. RNAcentral's name for it is "Actinobacteria bacterium partial 16S ribosomal RNA". It matches the Rfam family "Bacterial small subunit ribosomal RNA", at positions 355 to 776 of the family's 1533-position model. The record is from RNAcentral. Lineage: Bacteria; Bacillati; Actinomycetota; Actinomycetes.
UGGGGAAUAUUGGACAAUGGGCGCAAGCCUGAUCCAGCCAUGCCGCGUGAGUGAUGAAGGCCCUAGGGUUGUAAAGCUCUUUCACCGGUGAAGAUAAUGACGGUAACCGGAGAAGAAGCCCCGGCUAACUUCGUGCCAGCAGCCGCGGUAAUACGAAGGGGGCUAGCGUUGUUCGGAUUUACUGGGCGUAAAGCGCACGUAGGCGGACUAUUAAGUCAGGGGUUAAAUCCCGGGGCUCAACCCCGGAACUGCCUUUGAUACUGGUAGUCUUGAGUUCGAGAGGGGUGAGUGGAAUUCCGAGUGUAGAGGUAAAAUUCUUAGAUAUUCGGAGGAAAACCAGUGGCGAAGGCGGCUCACUGGCUCGAUACUGACGCUGAGGUGCGAAAGCGUGGGGAGCAAACAGG